Molecule: ribosomal RNA, 263 nt
Filed under: uncultured Staphylococcus sp.
Lineage: Bacteria; Bacillati; Bacillota; Bacilli; Caryophanales; Staphylococcaceae
Description: partial 16S ribosomal RNA
Rfam family: Bacterial small subunit ribosomal RNA
Source: RNAcentral
CGGACGGGUGAGUAACACGUGGAUAACCUACCUAUAAGACUGGGAUAACUUCGGGAAACCGGAGCUAAUACCGGAUAAUAUAUUGAACCGCAUGGUUCAAUGGUGAAAGACGGUUUUGCUGUCACUUAUAGAUGGAUCCGCGCUGCAUUAGCUAGUUGGUAAGGUAACGGCUUACCAAGGCAACGAUGCGUAGCCGACCUGAGAGGGUGAUCGGCCACACUGGAACUGAGACACGGUCCAGACUCCUACGGGAGGCAGCAGGC